AUAGAAUUAUUGCUGCGGUUAAAAAGCUCGUAGUUGGAUCUGUGCCAUAGGACGGGGUCCACCUUCGGGUGCGUACUCCGCUCCUAGGCUUUUUGCUGGUUUUCCCGUCGUAGCCUUCACUGGUUGCGGCGGGUGGCUGGCGAGUUUACUUUGAGAAAAUCAGAGUGCUCAAUACAGGCGUCUAGCUUGAAUGAUUGUGCAUGGAAUAAUAGAAAAGGAUUUCGGUCCUCUUUUAUUGGUUUUGUGGACUGAGAUAAUGGUUAACAGGGACAAACGGGGGCAUUCGUAUCGCUGCGUGAGAGGUGAAAUUCUUGGACCGUAGCGAGACGCCCUACUG
RNAcentral lists this ribosomal RNA (337 nucleotides) under uncultured eukaryote. Its description in RNAcentral is "SSU rRNA". It matches the Rfam family "Eukaryotic small subunit ribosomal RNA", at positions 601 to 945 of the family's 1831-position model. The record is from RNAcentral.